UACGUAGGGGGCAAGCGUUGUCCGGAUUUAUUGGGCGUAAAGAGCGUGUAGGGCCAGACAGGUCAGCUGUGAAAACUCGAGGCUCAACCUCGAGACGUCGGUUGAAACCGUCUGGCUAGAGUCCGGAAGAGGAGAGUGGAAUUCCCGGUGUAGCGGUGAAAUGCGCAGAUAUCGGGAAGAACACCCGUGGCGAAGGCGGCUCUCUGGGACGGUACUGACGCUGAGACGCGAAAGCGUGGGGAGCGAACAGG
This 251-nucleotide ribosomal RNA is filed under the name uncultured bacterium. RNAcentral's name for it is "partial 16S ribosomal RNA". It matches the Rfam family "Bacterial small subunit ribosomal RNA", at positions 524 to 776 of the family's 1533-position model. The record is from RNAcentral.